Molecule: ribosomal RNA, 265 nt
Filed under: uncultured Clostridia bacterium
Lineage: Bacteria; Bacillati; Bacillota; Clostridia
Description: partial 16S ribosomal RNA
Rfam family: Bacterial small subunit ribosomal RNA
Source: RNAcentral
CUUCGGUUCUGAUGUUCUAGCGGCGGACGGGUGAGUAACGCGUGAGCAAUCUGUCCCAUACAGGGGGAUAACAGCUGGAAACAGCUGCUAAUACCGCAUGAGACCACAACGUCACAUGACGAAGGGGUCAAAGGAGCAAUCCGGUAUGGGGUGAGCUCGCGUCCCAUUAGGUAGUUGGUGAGGUAACGGCCCACCAAGCCGACGAUGGGUAGCCGACCUGAGAGGGUGAUCGGCCACACUGGAACUGAGACACGGUCCAGACUCC